Molecule: long non-coding RNA, 3465 nt
Organism: Mesocricetus auratus (golden hamster)
Lineage: Eukaryota; Metazoa; Chordata; Mammalia; Rodentia; Cricetidae
Exons: 4
Source: RefSeq, a predicted model, not a curated record
AACACUACCUUUAAAACAAAGACAGAAAAAACUAUUGAAGCCCACAUUUAUGAGUUACCGGUUUAGAGGUGAAAGAAAAUGAGUGGGGUGUCCAGAGACGGCCCAGAAGGCAUUGCUGCUCUUGGGAUAUGCUGUCUGUGAACGGCACGCCAGCAGGCCACAGUCUCUUACCUGCGACCAGCUCUCAAAUGACAUCAUGUGCUGAAUAGUCCCAGGAAUUGGCCCAUUCGUUCCCUGAAAACCCUCAAGAUCUGAUAACGUCCACCGGACACCCCCUCACAGACACUCACGAGAUGUGCCCCGUUAACUUCCCAGGCAUCUCUUAAUCUUAGCGCGUUGACAAUCAAGGUUGAGCGUCCCAACAGCAUAAAGAUGCCCAAGGAAUACAUGACAAGCCGCGCAACAUCCCUACUCAUCGUGGGAAUUAAAGUGAAGGAAAGACUGCUGGUUUCUAGCUCUGCAUGACGGAGCGUGGAAGUUUCCAGUUCAUGCUCACACAAACACCCGGGUGAACCAGCUAGAAACCAAACAGCUCUCCUAGGCCGUGCAAGGGAGGUGAGGACAGCAAAGAAACUUGGGAGUUCAGCGUUAAAGGCACCAGGUGGCCGGCGACCUUAUCACACUUCCCCGACCCUCAGCAGCACACUAGAGGUCUCAUUCUGCAGUCCCUGUACUUGGAGCAAUUGUGUGUGAUUACCAAGAAAAAGGCCCACGCAGGCGAGGACAAAGAGCGAGUUCAAAGGAAUCCACGCCCGGAGGCCUCCUGGAAGACUUACGAAGCAAAGAGGGGAUUGCUGGAGGGAUGUAUCAAGGGUUCUGUACAUGCAAGGGCAUUCAUUGCUCGGCCCUGUGGCUGCAAUCCGGUUUUCAUUGCCCUGGGUCUCAAGGGAGGCUACCUCACGUUGAGAAGACUCACUGGAAAGCCUACCUCACGUUGAGAAGGCCCAAUGGAAAGCCUUCCUAGGAGGAGUAGGUCAGGCAGAAGAUAGAAUGUGAGGACCUGGAGACACAGCCGAGCAACUGGAAAACACUACCUUUAAAACAAAGACAGAAAAAACUAUUGAAGCCCACAUUUAUGAGUUACCGGUUUAGAGGUGAAAGAAAAUGAGUGGGGUGUCCAGAGACGGCCCAGAAGGCAUUGCUGCUCUUGGGAUAUGCUGUCUGUGAACGGCACGCCAGCAGGCCACAGUCUCUUACCUGCGACCAGCUCUCAAAUGACAUCAUGUGCUGAAUAGUCCCAGGAAUUGGCCCAUUCGUUCCCUGAAAACCCUCAAGAUCUGAUAACGUCCACCGGACACCCCCUCACAGACACUCACGAGAUGUGCCCCGUUAACUUCCCAGGCAUCUCUUAAUCUUAGCGCGUUGACAAUCAAGGUUGAGCGUCCCAACAGCAUAAAGAUGCCCAAGGAAUACAUGACAAGCCGCGCAACAUCCCUACUCAUCGUGGGAAUUAAAGUGAAGGAAAGACUGCUGGUUUCUAGCUCUGCAUGACGGAGCGUGGAAGUUUCCAGUUCAUGCUCACACAAACACCCGGGUGAACCAGCUAGAAACCAAACAGCUCUCCUAGGCCGUGCAAGGGAGGUGAGGACAGCAAAGAAACUUGGGAGUUCAGCGUUAAAGGCACCAGGUGGCCGGCGACCUUAUCACACUUCCCCGACCCUCAGCAGCACACUAGAGGUCUCAUUCUGCAGUCCCUGUACUUGGAGCAAUUGUGUGUGAUUACCAAGAAAAAGGCCCACGCAGGCGAGGACAAAGAGCGAGUUCAAAGGAAUCCACGCCCGGAGGCCUCCUGGAAGACUUACGAAGCAAAGAGGGGAUUGCUGGAGGGAUGUAUCAAGGGUUCUGUACAUGCAAGGGCAUUCAUUGCUCGGCCCUGUGGCUGCAAUCCGGUUUUCAUUGCCCUGGGUCUCAAGGGAGGCUACCUCACGUUGAGAAGACUCACUGGAAAGCCUACCUCACGUUGAGAAGGCCCAAUGGAAAGCCUUCCUAGGAGGAGUAGGUCAGGCAGAAGAUAGAAUGUGAGGACCUGGAGACACAGCCGAGCAACUGGAAAACACUACCUUUAAAACAAAGACAGAAAAAACUAUUGAAGCCCACAUUUAUGAGUUACCGGUUUAGAGGUGAAAGAAAAUGAGUGGGGUGUCCAGAGACGGCCCAGAAGGCAUUGCUGCUCUUGGGAUAUGCUGUCUGUGAACGGCACGCCAGCAGGCCACAGUCUCUUACCUGCGACCAGCUCUCAAAUGACAUCAUGUGCUGAAUAGUCCCAGGAAUUGGCCCAUUCGUUCCCUGAAAACCCUCAAGAUCUGAUAACGUCCACCGGACACCCCCUCACAGACACUCACGAGAUGUGCCCCGUUAACUUCCCAGGCAUCUCUUAAUCUUAGCGCGUUGACAAUCAAGGUUGAGCGUCCCAACAGCAUAAAGAUGCCCAAGGAAUACAUGACAAGCCGCGCAACAUCCCUACUCAUCGUGGGAAUUAAAGUGAAGGAAAGACUGCUGGUUUCUAGCUCUGCAUGACGGAGCGUGGAAGUUUCCAGUUCAUGCUCACACAAACACCCGGGUGAACCAGCUAGAAACCAAACAGCUCUCCUAGGCCGUGCAAGGGAGGUGAGGACAGCAAAGAAACUUGGGAGUUCAGCGUUAAAGGCACCAGGUGGCCGGCGACCUUAUCACACUUCCCCGACCCUCAGCAGCACACUAGAGGUCUCAUUCUGCAGUCCCUGUACUUGGAGCAAUUGUGUGUGAUUACCAAGAAAAAGGCCCACGCAGGCGAGGACAAAGAGCGAGUUCAAAGGAAUCCACGCCCGGAGGCCUCCUGGAAGACUUACGAAGCAAAGAGGGGAUUGCUGGAGGGAUGUAUCAAGGGUUCUGUACAUGCAAGGGCAUUCAUUGCUCGGCCCUGUGGCUGCAAUCCGGUUUUCAUUGCCCUGGGUCUCAAGGGAGGCUACCUCACGUUGAGAAGACUCACUGGAAAGCCUACCUCACGUUGAGAAGGCCCAAUGGAAAGCCUUCCUAGGAGGAGUAGGUCAGGCAGAAGAUAGAAUGUGAGGACCUGGAGACACAGCCGAGCAACUGGAAAACACUACCUUUAAAACAAAGACAGAAAAAACUAUUGAAGCCCACAUUUAUGAGUUACCGGUUUAGAGGUGAAAGAAAAUGAGUGGGGUGUCCAGAGACGGCCCAGAAGGCAUUGCUGCUCUUGGGAUAUGCUGUCUGUGAACGGCACGCCAGCAGGCCACAGUCUCUUACCUGCGACCAGCUCUCAAAUGACAUCAUGUGCUGAAUAGUCCCAGGAAUUGGCCCAUUCGUUCCCUGAAAACCCUCAAGAUCUGAUAACGUCCACCGGACACCUCCUCACAGACACUCACGAGAUGUGCCCCGUUAACUUCCCAGGCAUCUCUUAAUCUUAGCGCGUUGACAAUCAAGGUUGAGCGUCCCAACAGCAUAAAGAUGCCCAAGGAAUAC